RNAcentral lists this ribosomal RNA (773 nucleotides) under uncultured bacterium. Its description in RNAcentral is "bacterial SSU rRNA". It matches the Rfam family "Bacterial small subunit ribosomal RNA", at positions 8 to 796 of the family's 1533-position model. The record is from RNAcentral.
AGAGUUUGAUCCUGGCUCAGGACGAACGCUGGCGGCGUGCUUAACACAUGCAAGUCGAGCGGAAAGGCCCUUCGGGGUACUCGAGCGGCGAACGGGUGAGUAAUACGUGAGUAAUCUGCCCCUAGCUCUGGGAUAGCUCCGGGAAACCGGGAUUAAUACCGGAUACGACCACCUUAGACAUCUUUUGUGGUGGAAAGAAUUUCGGCUAGGGAUGAGCUCGCGGCCUAUCAGCUUGUUGGUGGGGUAACGGCCUACCAAGGCGACGACGGGUAGCCGGCCUGAGAGGGCGACCGGCCACACUGGGACUGAGACACGGCCCAGACUCCUACGGGAGGCAGCAGUGGGGAAUAUUGCGCAAUGGGCGAAAGCCUGACGCAGCGACGCCGCGUGGGGGAUGAAGGCCUUCGGGUUGUAAACCCCUUUCAGCAGGGACGAAGCGAAAGUGACGGUACCUGCAGAAGAAGCGCCGGCUAACUACGUGCCAGCAGCCGCGGUAACACGUAGGGCGCAAGCGUUGUCCGGAAUUAUUGGGCGUAAAGAGCUCGUAGGCGGUCUGUUGCGUCCGCUGUGAAAACUCGGGGCUUAACCCCGAGCCUGCAGUGGAUACGGGCAGACUAGAGGUAGGUAGGGGAGAAUGGAAUUUCCCGGUGUAGCGGUGAAAUGCGCAGAUAUCGGGAGGAACACCGGUGGCGAAGGCGGUUUCUCUGGGCCUUACCUGACGCUUAAGAACGAAAGCGUGGGGAAGCGAACAGGAUUAGAUACCCCCGUAGUCC